GCGUACACAUCACAUUCUGAGCCUCAGCCGUCAGCGUCGCAGCAGGACAUUGACCGAGGCGGUACAGCGCUGCUGCGAUGAUUCUCUCUGAAGGAGGGUGUUUAUUGACCAGCUGUAGCCUGUGCAGCUGUGUCAGAUGAAGGCUAAUGACACACACUCUUCAGCAGCUGCCUGACAAUGAGAUAAUGAGGCACAAGCAUCUCUGAAAGGAGCAAACACGGACAGAGGUAUAAGAGGGUUUGGAGGAGCUAAGCUGCAAGAUAAAGCAGCUCUGGUCGUUGGUCGGCUCAGAUGAUUCUUCAAGCGAUUUCUUUCUGUGCCUUUAAGGGCUAUUACACGGCUCCAUAAAUAGGCAUGUUGGAGGUGAUGGAGGGCCACGGAGGGAGAUGGAGCACUUUGGCUGAUUCCCAAAGAAAGGUAAUGACAGCCCCCGUCAAUACCUGGCGCUCCAUUUACUAUGGAGCUCGUCUGCACCACUAACAAGACUUGAGGCUAAUACUUGGAGGAUCCAGACCGUGUCCACUGAGGUAAUUCGACUCAUGUCAAGAUGGAUGGCCCGAGAUGUCCUGAUUACCGGCACAAACGUCCCUCCACCAGCUCCCCAUCCUUGUUCAGAAUGUCUGAGAAAAUACUUCAUAAAAAUUAGAUUUUA
Oryzias melastigma (Indian medaka) is the source of this 652-nucleotide long non-coding RNA. RefSeq lists it as uncharacterized. The record is from RefSeq and is a predicted model, not a curated record. The transcript is spliced from 2 exons. NCBI's taxonomy places the organism in Eukaryota, Metazoa, Chordata, Actinopteri, Beloniformes, Adrianichthyidae.